RNAcentral lists this ribosomal RNA (316 nucleotides) under uncultured Pedomicrobium sp. Its description in RNAcentral is "bacterial SSU rRNA". It matches the Rfam family "Bacterial small subunit ribosomal RNA", at positions 1064 to 1382 of the family's 1533-position model. Lineage: Bacteria; Pseudomonadati; Pseudomonadota; Alphaproteobacteria; Hyphomicrobiales; Hyphomicrobiaceae. The record is from RNAcentral.
GUCGUGAGAUGUUGGUUAAGUCCCGCAACGAGCGCAACCCUCGCCAUUAGUUGCCAUCAUUAAGUUGGGCACUCUAGUGGGACUGCCGGUGAUAAGCCGGAGGAAGGUGGGGAGUGACGUCAAGUCAUCAUGGCCCUUACGGGCUGGGCUACACACGUGCUACAAUGGCGGUGACAGUGGGCAGCAACUCAGCAAUGGGGAGCUAAUCUCAAAAAGCCGUCUCAGUUCGGAUUGGGGUCUGCAACUCGACCCCAUGAAGUCGGAAUCGCUAGUAAUCGCGGAUCAGCACGCCGCGGUGAAUACGUUCCCGGGCCUU